UGCCUGUAAUCCCAGCACUCUGGAAAUGGA
This 30-nucleotide non-coding RNA is filed under the name Rattus norvegicus (Norway rat). The record is from RNAcentral. Lineage: Eukaryota; Metazoa; Chordata; Mammalia; Rodentia; Muridae.